RNAcentral lists this ribosomal RNA (471 nucleotides) under uncultured Sphingobacteriales bacterium. RNAcentral's name for it is "bacterial SSU rRNA". It matches the Rfam family "Bacterial small subunit ribosomal RNA", at positions 916 to 1381 of the family's 1533-position model. Lineage: Bacteria; Pseudomonadati; Bacteroidota; Sphingobacteriia; Sphingobacteriales. The record is from RNAcentral.
CGGGGCCCGGCACAAGCGGAGGAGCAUGUGGUUAAUUUCGAUGAUACGCGAGGAACCUUACCUGGGCGUCGAACGUAAGAUGACUGUAGGUGAAAGACUUACAUCUCUUCGGAGCAUUUUACGUAGGUGCUGCAUGGUUGUCGUCAGCUCGUGCCGUGAGGUGUCGGGUUAAGUCCCAUAACGAGCGCAACCCCUACCUUUAGUUGCCAUCAGGUAAUGCUGGGGACUCUAAAGGAACUGCCUACGCAAGUAGUGAGGAAGGCGGGGAUGACGUCAAAUCAGCACGGCCCUUACGUCCAGGGCUACACACGUGCUACAAUGGCCGAUACAGAGGGCAGCUACCUGGUGACAGGAUGCAAAUCUCCAAAGUCGGUCUCAGUUCGGAUCGGAGUCUGCAACCCGACUCCGUGAAGUUGGAUUCGCUAGUAAUCGCGCAUCAGCCAUGGCGCGGUGAAUACGUUCCCGGGCCUU